RNAcentral lists this ribosomal RNA (301 nucleotides) under uncultured bacterium. Its description in RNAcentral is "partial 16S ribosomal RNA". It matches the Rfam family "Bacterial small subunit ribosomal RNA", at positions 509 to 809 of the family's 1533-position model. The record is from RNAcentral.
CAGUCGCCGCGGGAAUACGUAGGUGGCAAGCGUUAAUCGGAAUUACUGGGCGUAAAGCGUGCGCAGGCGGUUCUAUAAGACAGAUGUGAAAUCCCCGGGCUCAACCUGGGAACUGCAUUUGUGACUGUAGAGCUGGAGUGCGGCAGAGGGGGAUGGAAUUCCGCGUGUAGCAGUGAAAUGCGUAGAUAUGCGGAGGAACACCGAUGGCGAAGGCAAUCCCCUGGGCCUGCACUGACGCUCAUGCACGAAAGCGUGGGGAGCAAACAGGAUUAGAUACCCCCGUAGUCCCUGUCUCUUAUAA